AAACCCUAAUCUGCAACAAGAAACAGCCGGGAGCUUGCUUAUACUAAAGCUUCUGAGCUGCCACUCCCAGAGUCCAGCUUAGAGUGCCAUAGGGCCAGGAAUGUGCAUUUGCACAGCUCUCUGGGGAUGCUGAUACAGGGGACCAAAGACUAUCUACUGAGGCCCAGUGUAACUUUACUGUGAGACAACUAAGUCACCUUCCCACCCGGAGAUGCCUCCUGAGCUGACCACAGGGCGGCCACACCUGGCUGACAACUGUCAAGAACUGUCCCCUGCCAUUUCACCUGAGCUGACCUGAUCUCCCCAGGGGAAUGAGCCUCGUCUUGCAAGUCCCCUUCUUUGGGUCCCUGGCAGCGCUGCUGCAGGAUACAAGGAACAGGAUGCUAUGACGAGAUAUGCAUUGAGAAGCUUCAGUCCUGCCUCCAUCCUUAUCUUCUUCUCCCUGGACCAAAAACAAGGGAAACCAAGAAUGAUCUGGAUAAUGGAGAAACCUGUUAAUACAACUGGAUUUGAAUCACACUACUGGCUGAAAUUCACACAACCGGAUUGGGAUCCCACUGUGUAAUUUUAGGAUGCUCAAGCAUCAUGGCAUCAUUUCCAGUGGAGUCGCUGAACUUGUAGGUUGUCUACCUGACACCUCGAGGUCCUUACACCAAGAAGUCAGCUGUGAAGCCCGCUGAGUCCUCGGGUGGAUGUCUGCCACCACAUACAUAGCCUUUGCUGGUGGCUUGGAGAGCUGGCAGGUCAGCCACAGAAAGUGGGCAAGACCUAGUCAGUAGCGACAGGAUAUGUUCCCAGGAUGGACAGCUGCCUGAUAUGCGUUCAGUUCCAGUGCCAAAGCCAAGGGCUGCCAGUGCCCUUCCUUCAUGCUAAGGACUUCUCUCUCUCCAGG
This 892-nucleotide long non-coding RNA is filed under the name Homo sapiens (human). Its description in RNAcentral is "HSALNT0345900". Lineage: Eukaryota; Metazoa; Chordata; Mammalia; Primates; Hominidae. The record is from RNAcentral.